GGAAACCAGUUCCAAGGGACUCAGCUAAGCCACUCAGAGAAAAAAAGACCUGAGCUUUAUUCGGAGAGGAAAAAAAAAAAAAAUGGUAUGCAGCUGCAGCUUACCCCGCAUGACACUGCACAGAAUCCCAAAGAAAUAGAGCGGGAGAGACCCAGCCGUGCCUGCAGCCUGCCCCUCUCUCGGCUUGUGGCUAGGAUUAGGGAAAUGCUCUGACCUAUACACAUGGAUGGACAUUUGCUCAAAAGAUGUGGUCCCUGGACUGGAAGCUUCAGAAUCAUCUGGAAAUGUGCUAGAAAUGCAGGCUCCCAGGCCUCCCCUACCACUCCUUUACAAGUACACAAGGUCACUGGAUAGAUGGUCCCUUUGGAUCACGUGCUCAUCCCUGGCCCAGUCAGCUGUGAUCAGAGGAGCAAGACCGUGAGAUAAGGCUUGAAACCUAAGGAAUUUCAAAGAGGGGGCCAUGAUGGGCAUUCAGCGGCAUCUCAGGAGGGGGCAGAGUAACCAGCAGGUGCUUUGCAUGCUGGUCUGGUGUGUCUGGAAAAGGCAUCCCGCUAAAACGUUUGUCAGGAAACUUCUCAUCAGCAUUUCCAGCAUGCAGGAGCAACCAAGAGAGCCACUUAGAUACCAUUUGAUUAUAAUGUGUUUCUCAGAGAAAUAAAUAGCCCAAAUGGAAGCAC
Molecule: long non-coding RNA, 677 nt
Filed under: Homo sapiens (human)
Lineage: Eukaryota; Metazoa; Chordata; Mammalia; Primates; Hominidae
Description: HSALNT0319191
Source: RNAcentral